Molecule: long non-coding RNA, 547 nt
Filed under: Phoenix dactylifera (date palm)
Lineage: Eukaryota; Viridiplantae; Streptophyta; Magnoliopsida; Arecales; Arecaceae
Description: long non-coding RNA (PDAC_LNC017851)
Source: RNAcentral
ACUUAUGCUUUUGAAAAUUAUUUUAUGGUUUGCCUAAAUUGAAAUAUACAUUUGCCUAUGUAAUGCAUAACCAUGAAAUACACAAGUUUAUGCUUCAAAUUUUGAUUUAAAAUAACUUGUGAUAAACUAUGAAUUCUUGAGCAUAAUGAAAAUGUUGUUUGCAUGAUAUACAUCUAUAUGAUACAUUAGAUUAUUUCUUCAUUCUGCUCUUUCAUGUAAAUUACUUGAGACUAACAAAAAAAGAGAGAGAUAAAGAAAAGAAAAUGAACAUUAUUCAAGGAAAGUAAAACCUAAGUAAAAGCAAAUACUUCAAUCUUAAAGAAAAGCAAAAUAAGCAUAAUAUAUUCGGCACAUUUGUGAGACUUGUGUGAGCAUUCUUUUGGAAGGAAUAAAAUUCGUAAUUAAUUACAUUUAAACAGGGAGACUUUGGAGUGAACAUUUUUAAAGAAAACGGUUUAACCUUUCUAUAUUGCUCAUCAUAGGGAUGGUGCCAAUGGAGAGGCUAGUGGUAGUACGCGGCACUAUUUGACCCAACUAUUCGGUGUAG